GAGAAGUGGUGGUGUAGCUCAUUUCCUGUGCUUCUGCUGCUGCUUAUGUUUGACUCUCUCUGUUAAGACUGUUGUUCUCACAGAUAUGGAUUUUUUGAUGACAGAGUCAACUUAUAAACUUCUUAUCUUUUUAUGCAUGAUACGAGGAACAUACGGAGUUCUCAUAAAUUAUAAUGCGAUCGCAACUGCUGUGGAGGGACAGAACGUCAGCCUGCAGUGCAUUGUGGGAGAGGAGCAUGGCAUCACAAUUAUCCAGGUGGAAUGGAUUAAACAGCAAAAAGGAAAUGAGAAGAACGAUCAGAAGAUUGUUGUGUUCCAUCCUGGGUUCCCAACACAUUUUUUUAAAUCUGGUCCUCUUCUGGAGACAGUUACUAGUUCAAAAACUGGGAAGCUGCAAGGCUCAAUCCUGACCCUGUAUAAAGUUACAGUGAAUGACAGUGGAAACUAUAUUUGUGAAAUUACUUCCUAUCCUAUUGGCUCGAUUAACAGAACCACAACGCUGCAAUUCGCAGGUAAACUGUUUACUGUAACCUGAUUUCACAUUUAAAAUCAAAUAAGCAUCAUCUGUCUGCUAAUUUCAGAGCCUCCAGCAUCAGUGAAGAUGCCAUAUCCAUAUGGAUUCAUAAAAGAGGGGGAUGAUAUGAAAAUAACUUGUUCAGCGAUCCCUCCACCACUCCGUUAUAAACUGAGACGUUCAAAGGUGAGUCAGAUGGAAAAAUACACAUUUCUAUAUGCCACAGUUUAUAACUGUUGUGUUGAUCUCAUUCGUCUCAUCAGAACAAGAUAUUUUGGCUGGAAAGCUCAAACGGAGAGUUCAUUUUACCACAUGUCACCAGAAACGACAGCGAUGUGUACAUCUGUUUACCUGAAUGGGACUCGUUAGUCCCAAAUCUGCAAGGUCUCAAUGCCACCGUCGAACUGACUGUGAAUUGUGAGUGUUUGUACUGAGAAUAUAAAUCAAUUGCACCUAAAAAGGUUUUUGAAUGAUUUUUUAUCAUUGUCUGUCGAAUAAAAGCUCUUAGAAAUAAACAAAUCCAUAUAAAAUAAUUCCUGGUUUUCCAAACAGUUCUUGAUGGCAUUGAGUGUAACACAAGCAGCCCUUUAAACGUCAGCGCUGGUGAGGAUGUGGCGAUUUCUUGUAUCGUAAAAGCUUCACAGUACUUGCAGUAUAAGUGGAUGAGGGUAAGAUCGUGAAAUAUUAAAAGAUUGAAAUGAAAUAUUAAAGCAGUAUUGUUUUAAU
This 1240-nucleotide long non-coding RNA is filed under the name Sinocyclocheilus anshuiensis. RNAcentral describes it as "lncRNA (ENSSANG00000039273.1)". Lineage: Eukaryota; Metazoa; Chordata; Actinopteri; Cypriniformes; Cyprinidae. The record is from RNAcentral.